Molecule: ribosomal RNA, 490 nt
Filed under: uncultured bacterium
Lineage: Bacteria
Description: partial 16S ribosomal RNA
Rfam family: Bacterial small subunit ribosomal RNA
Source: RNAcentral
AUUGAACGCUGGCGGCAGGCCUAACACAUGCAAGUCGAACGGUAACAGGAAGAAGCUUGCUUCUUUGCUGACGAGUGGCGGACGGGUGAGUAAUGUCUGGGAAACUGCCUGAUGGGGGGGGAUAACUACUGGAAACGGUAGCUAAUACCGCAUAACGUCGCAAGACCAAAGAGGGGGACCUUCGGGCCUCUUGCCAUCGGAUGUGCCCAGAUGGGAUUAGCUAGUAGGUGGGGUAACGGCUCACCUAGGCGACGAUCCCUAGCUGGUCUGAGAGGAUGACCAGCCACACUGGAACUGAGACACGGUCCAGACUCCUACGGGAGGCAGCAGUGGGGAAUAUUGCACAAUGGGCGCAAGCCUGAUGCAGCCAUGCCGCGUGUAUGAAGAAGGCCUUCGGGUUGUAAAGUACUUUCAGCGGGGAGGAAGGGAGUAAAGUUAAUACCUUGACUCAUUGACGUUACCCGCAGAAGAAGCACCGGCUAACUCCGUG